RNAcentral lists this unclassified non-coding RNA (353 nucleotides) under soil metagenome. Its description in RNAcentral is "partial contains 5.8S ribosomal RNA, internal transcribed spacer 2, and large subunit ribosomal RNA". The stretch from base 1 to 121 matches the Rfam family "5.8S ribosomal RNA", at positions 35 to 154 of the family's 154-position model. The record is from RNAcentral.
GAUGAAGAACGCAGCGAAAUGCGAUAAGUAAUGCGAAUUGCAGAAUUUCCGUGAGUCAUCGAAUCUUUGAACGCACAUUGCGCCCGCCAGUAUUCUGGCGGGCAUGCCUGUUCGAGCGUCAUUACAACCCUCAGGCCCCCGGGCCUGGCGUUGGGGAUCGGCGGAGCCCCCCGUGGGCACACGCCGUCCCCCAAAUACAGUGGCGGUCCCGCCGCAGCUUCCAUCGCGUAGUAGCUAACACCUCGCGACUGGAGAGCGGCGCGGCCACGCCGUAAAACACCCAACUCUUCUGAAGUUGACCUCGAAUCAGGUAGGAAUACCCGCUGAACUUAAGCAUAUCAAUAAGCGGAGGA